GAUCUUCUGAAGGUCGAUGUCACCUCGAUCCACGAUCUCCCGGAUAAGGUGAAAGCGAUGCAGAAUAUGUUUGAUGCACUGAUGGGACCUCGGCUCCUUGGCUUGAGCAAUAGCUCUAGUAUUGUCGUAGUAUAACAAGACAAGACCAUCAACAGAGAGUGCCACUUUGAGCUCGUCGAUGAACUUUCACAACCAUACAGCUUCCU
This 206-nucleotide long non-coding RNA is filed under the name Elaeis guineensis (African oil palm). RNAcentral describes it as "long non-coding RNA (EGUI_LNC082819)". Lineage: Eukaryota; Viridiplantae; Streptophyta; Magnoliopsida; Arecales; Arecaceae. The record is from RNAcentral.